CGCGUAGGCGGCUCGCUAAGUCGGAUGUGAAAACUCUGGGCUCAACCCAGAGCCUGCAUUCGAAACUGACGAGCUCGAGUUCUGGAGGGGAAAGCGGAAUUCCUGGUGUAGCGGUGAAAUGCGUAGAUAUCAGGAGGAACACCGGUGGCGAAGGCGGCUUUCUGGACAGAAACUGACGCUGAUGCGCGAAAGCUAGGGAGCAAACA
This 206-nucleotide ribosomal RNA is filed under the name uncultured bacterium. RNAcentral describes it as "partial 16S ribosomal RNA". It matches the Rfam family "Bacterial small subunit ribosomal RNA", at positions 568 to 774 of the family's 1533-position model. The record is from RNAcentral.